UCGGGAAUUUUGGGCAAUGGGCGCAAGCCUGAUCCAGCCAUGCCGCGUGUGUGAAGAAGGCCUUCGGGUUGUAAAGCACUUUCAGCGAGGAGGAAGGGAGUUGUGUUAAUAGCACAGCUUCUUGACGUUACUCGCAGAAGAAGCACCGGCUAACUCUGUGCCAGCAGCCGCGGUAAUACAGAGGGUGUAAGCGUUAAUCGGAAUUACUGGGCGUAAAGCGCACGUAGGCGGUUUUUAAGUCAGAUGUGAAAGCCCCGGGCUCAACCUGGGAAUUGCAUUUGAAACUGGAAAACUAGAGUGUGUGAGAGGGGGGUAGAAUUCCAAGUGUAGGGGUGAAAUCCGUAGAUAUCUGGAGGAACAUCGGAAGCGAAGGCGGCUUCCUGGCCCGUAACUGACGCUGAGACGCGAAAGCGUGGGGAGCAAACAGGAUUAGAUACCCGAGUAGUCCCUGAGCGGGCUGGCAAGGCGCAU
RNAcentral lists this ribosomal RNA (471 nucleotides) under uncultured bacterium. RNAcentral's name for it is "bacterial SSU rRNA". It matches the Rfam family "Bacterial small subunit ribosomal RNA", at positions 355 to 825 of the family's 1533-position model. The record is from RNAcentral.